This 2901-nucleotide ribosomal RNA is filed under the name Escherichia coli. RNAcentral describes it as "23S ribosomal RNA". It matches the Rfam family "Bacterial large subunit ribosomal RNA". Lineage: Bacteria; Pseudomonadati; Pseudomonadota; Gammaproteobacteria; Enterobacterales; Enterobacteriaceae. The record is from RNAcentral.
UUAAGCGACUAAGCGUACACGGUGGAUGCCCUGGCAGUCAGAGGCGAUGAAGGACGUGCUAAUCUGCGAUAAGCGUCGGUAAGGUGAUAUGAACCGUUAUAACCGGCGAUUUCCGAAUGGGGAAACCCAGUGUGUUUCGACACACUAUCAUUAACUGAAUCCAUAGGUUAAUGAGGCGAACCGGGGGAACUGAAACAUCUAAGUACCCCGAGGAAAAGAAAUCAACCGAGAUUCCCCCAGUAGCGGCGAGCGAACGGGGAGCAGCCCAGAGCCUGAAUCAGUGUGUGUGUUAGUGGAAGCGUCUGGAAAGGCGCGCGAUACAGGGUGACAGCCCCGUACACAAAAAUGCACAUGCUGUGAGCUCGAUGAGUAGGGCGGGACACGUGGUAUCCUGUCUGAAUAUGGGGGGACCAUCCUCCAAGGCUAAAUACUCCUGACUGACCGAUAGUGAACCAGUACCGUGAGGGAAAGGCGAAAAGAACCCCGGCGAGGGGAGUGAAAAAGAACCUGAAACCGUGUACGUACAAGCAGUGGGAGCACGCUUAGGCGUGUGACUGCGUACCUUUUGUAUAAUGGGUCAGCGACUUAUAUUCUGUAGCAAGGUUAACCGAAUAGGGGAGCCGAAGGGAAACCGAGUCUUAACUGGGCGUUAAGUUGCAGGGUAUAGACCCGAAACCCGGUGAUCUAGCCAUGGGCAGGUUGAAGGUUGGGUAACACUAACUGGAGGACCGAACCGACUAAUGUUGAAAAAUUAGCGGAUGACUUGUGGCUGGGGGUGAAAGGCCAAUCAAACCGGGAGAUAGCUGGUUCUCCCCGAAAGCUAUUUAGGUAGCGCCUCGUGAAUUCAUCUCCGGGGGUAGAGCACUGUUUCGGCAAGGGGGUCAUCCCGACUUACCAACCCGAUGCAAACUGCGAAUACCGGAGAAUGUUAUCACGGGAGACACACGGCGGGUGCUAACGUCCGUCGUGAAGAGGGAAACAACCCAGACCGCCAGCUAAGGUCCCAAAGUCAUGGUUAAGUGGGAAACGAUGUGGGAAGGCCCAGACAGCCAGGAUGUUGGCUUAGAAGCAGCCAUCAUUUAAAGAAAGCGUAAUAGCUCACUGGUCGAGUCGGCCUGCGCGGAAGAUGUAACGGGGCUAAACCAUGCACCGAAGCUGCGGCAGCGACGCUUAUGCGUUGUUGGGUAGGGGAGCGUUCUGUAAGCCUGCGAAGGUGUGCUGUGAGGCAUGCUGGAGGUAUCAGAAGUGCGAAUGCUGACAUAAGUAACGAUAAAGCGGGUGAAAAGCCCGCUCGCCGGAAGACCAAGGGUUCCUGUCCAACGUUAAUCGGGGCAGGGUGAGUCGACCCCUAAGGCGAGGCCGAAAGGCGUAGUCGAUGGGAAACAGGUUAAUAUUCCUGUACUUGGUGUUACUGCGAAGGGGGGACGGAGAAGGCUAUGUUGGCCGGGCGACGGUUGUCCCGGUUUAAGCGUGUAGGCUGGUUUUCCAGGCAAAUCCGGAAAAUCAAGGCUGAGGCGUGAUGACGAGGCACUACGGUGCUGAAGCAACAAAUGCCCUGCUUCCAGGAAAAGCCUCUAAGCAUCAGGUAACAUCAAAUCGUACCCCAAACCGACACAGGUGGUCAGGUAGAGAAUACCAAGGCGCUUGAGAGAACUCGGGUGAAGGAACUAGGCAAAAUGGUGCCGUAACUUCGGGAGAAGGCACGCUGAUAUGUAGGUGAGGUCCCUCGCGGAUGGAGCUGAAAUCAGUCGAAGAUACCAGCUGGCUGCAACUGUUUAUUAAAAACACAGCACUGUGCAAACACGAAAGUGGACGUAUACGGUGUGACGCCUGCCCGGUGCCGGAAGGUUAAUUGAUGGGGUUAGCGCAAGCGAAGCUCUUGAUCGAAGCCCCGGUAAACGGCGGCCGUAACUAUAACGGUCCUAAGGUAGCGAAAUUCCUUGUCGGGUAAGUUCCGACCUGCACGAAUGGCGUAAUGAUGGCCAGGCUGUCUCCACCCGAGACUCAGUGAAAUUGAACUCGCUGUGAAGAUGCAGUGUACCCGCGGCAAGACGGAAAGACCCGUGAACCUUUACUAUAGCUUGACACUGAACAUUGAGCCUUGAUGUGUAGGAUAGGUGGGAGGCUUUGAAGUGUGGACGCCAGUCUGCAUGGAGCCGACCUUGAAAUACCACCCUUUAAUGUUUGAUGUUCUAACGUUGACCCGUAAUCCGGGUUGCGGACAGUGUCUGGUGGGUAGUUUGACUGGGGCGGUCUCCUCCUAAAGAGUAACGGAGGAGCACGAAGGUUGGCUAAUCCUGGUCGGACAUCAGGAGGUUAGUGCAAUGGCAUAAGCCAGCUUGACUGCGAGCGUGACGGCGCGAGCAGGUGCGAAAGCAGGUCAUAGUGAUCCGGUGGUUCUGAAUGGAAGGGCCAUCGCUCAACGGAUAAAAGGUACUCCGGGGAUAACAGGCUGAUACCGCCCAAGAGUUCAUAUCGACGGCGGUGUUUGGCACCUCGAUGUCGGCUCAUCACAUCCUGGGGCUGAAGUAGGUCCCAAGGGUAUGGCUGUUCGCCAUUUAAAGUGGUACGCGAGCUGGGUUUAGAACGUCGUGAGACAGUUCGGUCCCUAUCUGCCGUGGGCGCUGGAGAACUGAGGGGGGCUGCUCCUAGUACGAGAGGACCGGAGUGGACGCAUCACUGGUGUUCGGGUUGUCAUGCCAAUGGCACUGCCCGGUAGCUAAAUGCGGAAGAGAUAAGUGCUGAAAGCAUCUAAGCACGAAACUUGCCCCGAGAUGAGUUCUCCCUGACCCUUUAAGGGUCCUGAAGGAACGUUGAAGACGACGACGUUGAUAGGCCGGGUGUGUAAGCGCAGCGAUGCGUUGAGCUAACCGGUACUAAUGAACCGUGAGGCUUAACCUU